CACGUAGGGCGCAAGCGUUGUCCGGAAUUAUUGGGCGUAAAGAGCUCGUAGGCGGUCUGUUGCGUCCGCUGUGAAAACUCGGGGCUUAACCCUGGGCUGGCUUUCGAUACGGGCAGACUAGAGGUAUGCAGGGGAGAACGGAAUUCCUGGUGUAGCGGUGAAAUGCGCAGAUAUCAGGAGGAACACCGGUGGCGAAGGCGGUUCUCUGGGCAUUACCUGACGCUGAGGAGCGAAAGUGUGGGGAGCGAACAGG
RNAcentral lists this ribosomal RNA (253 nucleotides) under uncultured bacterium. RNAcentral describes it as "partial 16S ribosomal RNA". It matches the Rfam family "Bacterial small subunit ribosomal RNA", at positions 524 to 776 of the family's 1533-position model. The record is from RNAcentral.